UGAAAAUAUAAAUUAGUCAAUUCACAUUGUGAACUCUGUUGAAAUUGAUUAAUUAAAUGCUGAUGAUAGUACUCUGUAAUCUAGACUACAAAUAAUUAUAAAGAUGUGCCAAGAUGAACAAAAUAUUUCAAUAGAGUUAUGCAAUAUGUCAUAACGUCGUCAAGAAAAAAAAAGAAAAAAAAAAAAGAAAGAGAGAUGUAUUGUUUAGAGAAUUUGGGCACGACCAACACUAGAAAGGAAAUAUACCAAUAAAAUAGGUUUAAGUGUUGAAAAUAUUAAAAAGAAAAGCAGUGUAGAGUAAAAGGUAACAUGGAUGGAUAAGAUGCUAAAAAUUUGCUCGAGAUAUGAUUAUCAUAUCAUGCAACAGGAGGAAAUAUUGAAGAAUAGCAAAUUCAUAAAACUAACAACAAAUAGUUGAGAGAAGAUAAAAAUGAUUAUGAUUAUAAUGAUCCAGAAUAUAUGUCUAUAUACUUCGUGGUGAAAUCUCCAUAGAAUAAUACAAAAGUUAUAACAUCAUCAAAGAAAGUAAAAGAGUUUUAUUAACAAAGAGCACUUCGAUAUCACACAUUACAAUUGUACGCUACUGCUUUGGCAUCAAAUUUGAUGGUCUCUCUCCCUCCCUACCUCUCUCAACUUCCAUCACACUCAUUCUCAUUGUUCAUCCUUCCAUCGCACAUCCAAUAACCUCUCUCAGCCAUAGUCCUCACUUUAUAGCCUCUCUCUCUCUCUUUCUCUCUCUCUCUCUCUCUCUCUCUCUCUCUCUCUCUCUCUCUCUCUACCCCCCUCUUUUCUUAGACACCCUUAUGAUGAAUUCUCUGUCUUCGUCGGUCUUCCACCUAUCUUCCACCCCUUUCUUUUGGUAGCCCUUACACUCAUUCUCCUUGUUCAUCCUUCCAACACACAUCCACUUGUCUCUCUCCCUAUUCCACCUCUCUCACUAUGCAUCCUCACUGUGAUAGCCUCUCUUCCCUCCCUCUCUAAACCAUCCUUAAGCUCACUCUUCCUUUGUCUCCUCUUUCUCUUUGGGCCACCACUCACACUCAUUCUCCUCUUGCUUCCCUCCCUCAACUGCCUUUCCUCUUUAAACUAUUCAUCCUCACUCUUAUGAUUUCUCUUCUUUUCUCCACUAUAAAGCAUAGAUAUAGAUAGGUAGUCAAGGACUCAGCACGGCAGAUAUGCAAUGACAUGAAAUAUUUGUUAAAAGUUGCACAUAACAUGUUAUAAACACAAUGAUUAUUAAUAUAAAACAAAAGAUUUAAAGUACUUUUUAUUAAAGAAAUCGAAAGAUGAGGUAUGAUAUCAUAUACAUAUAUCUUACACUUUAUCAGAGCAUGUCAAAGUUGUGUUCGUGUUCGACACAAAAACAUAAAGCAUUUAUAAGUGUCUGUGCUUCAUAGUUAUCCACCUUCUUAACAAAUUUAAUGCUCGCUCACUUCCAUUUCUUUAAUUCCUCUCUUGGCCACCCUCAUAACCACCCCCUCCCUCCUUUAGAGUAUGUCAAAGUUGUAUUUGUGUUCAACACAGAAGCAUAAGGCAAUGGAAGUGUUUGUGUUUUAUAGUUCUCUUGCUUCCCUUCCUCUUUGUGAACACAGAACCCUUCAUUUCCCUUGCUUCCCUUCUUCUAUAAAAACCCUUGCCUUUCUUAACAUUCUUAUCCCUCCCUCCCUUCCUCCAUCUAUCUCUUAACCACCUUUAUUCUCAUUCUUUACUUGCUUCCCUUCCUGUCUCAGCCACCCUCACUAUACUUAUUCUCCUCUUGAUGCCCAACUUCCCACACCCUUGCCUUUCUCACUAUUCAUCCUCACUUUGAUGAUCUCUCUCGCUCCUUAUGUCUCGCAAAUACCCUUAUGCUCACUUUUCCCUUGCAUCCCUUCCUCUCUCAACCACCCUCAUACUUGUUCACCACUUAUUUCCCUACUUCCCUUUUCUCCUUAUCCCCUCACUUUGAUGGUUUCUCUCCCUCAACCCCUUUCUUGAGCACCCCAUACUCACUGCCCCUAUCUCCCUCUUUCCUCAACCCCUUUUCCUCUCUCACCAUUCAUCCUCAUUAUGAUGGUCUCCCUAUCCUUCCAUCUUUUAGACACCCUCACUUCCCUUAUCUCCCUACUUCCUCAACCCUUUUCCUCUCUCACUAUUCAUCCUCAUCAUUAUGGUCUCCCCAUCCUUCCCUCUUUUAUACACCCUCAUGCCCAUUCUUCCCCUUACUCCCUUCAUCUCUUGCUCCACCACUCACUCUCCUCCUACCUCCCUCCUUUGUCAACCCCUUUUUCCAUCUCAUUAUUAAUCCCCACUUUGAUGGCCUUGCUCCAUCCUUGCCUCUCCUAGAUUCCCUCAUGCCCACUUUUCUCAUAUCUCCCUUCCUUUUCACAACCCUUGACCAUUAAUCCUCACUCGGAUGGUUUCUCUCCCUACCCCUUUCACCCCCUUUUCCUCUUUAUUCAUCCUCAUUAUGAUGAUAUCUCUCACUACCCUUCCGUCUCAUAGACAUACUCAUGGCCACACCUGCAAGAAAUCCCUUCUCUCUUGCUCACACCACUCACGCUCCUGCUACCUCCUUCCUUCAACAUCUUUUUCUCUCUCAUUAUUCAUCCCCACUUUGAUGAUUUUUC
Long non-coding RNA from Dendrobium catenatum, 2609 nucleotides. RefSeq lists it as uncharacterized. The record is from RefSeq and is a predicted model, not a curated record. NCBI's taxonomy places the organism in Eukaryota, Viridiplantae, Streptophyta, Magnoliopsida, Asparagales, Orchidaceae. The transcript has 2 exons.